ACGAGUAGAAGAGGCGGCGUUCACGGGGCGGCGGCGAGCAGGUGUGUUAUGUCAUGAUGUCAGAGACAGCUCAAGAACGCCACAACUACGGAAACGCCACGUCUAAACGAGCAGCCCCACAAGUAGCUGUGGUAAGAGCUCGACGCCCCCCCAGGGCCGCUCCUGCACCUAGACCACGCACCACCGGACCGACAAGUUGGUGAAGUGGAAGUGGUAGCCGUGGUCUCCCUUGACGCCCAGGUAGCAGACGCGGCGGUACGAUACCUGGGAGUAGACGAACUACUUCCCACAUCUCAUGACGUUCGUCGUAAGACCAUACACGGCUAACACGUGCAGUCUUAUUAGUAAACUCUAUCGUCAGUGAACUCACACAUUUGAGUUCGAGGAAAAACGACGACCGAUCUCAUCAAUGACCAUAGGACCUCAACUCGUUAUGAACUCGUGAGUCUACGCUACUUUUUAAUCUAUACGCUUUACCAGUCAUUUAUUGAGAAAUGACAUUGCUCCAAGUAACUAUACCGAUGUAGGGCCCCGAACUGAUGCCCGCGAGGAAGGGCACUGUGGCAGUGGUAUGGUGUGUAGCCGGUGGGCCUGCGGCCGUGUACGGCGGCCGAGGGGAACGCGCGGACACGAUAAUACAACCGUAUACAAUGUAGCACACAGAUCGGGGUGAUAUAUACUCUCCGGAUCCUAUGUUUCACAGGAUGAUCCUGUGCUGAGGUAUAGGAUAGAUUU
RNAcentral lists this ribosomal RNA (735 nucleotides) under Triticum aestivum (bread wheat). Its description in RNAcentral is "partial small subunit ribosomal RNA". The record is from RNAcentral. Lineage: Eukaryota; Viridiplantae; Streptophyta; Magnoliopsida; Poales; Poaceae.